AGCUCAUCUCAGGGCACAGCUCAUUGAUUUUUUCCCUUUGCACACACCUGUGGAGCCACCGCACCCAGGUCAAGACACAGAACAUUUCCACACCCAAGAAGGCCCUCCCAAGGCUCCUCCCAGACACACCCGGCCCCGGGGUGUCCACAGCCGCCCUGUUUCACUGCAGAGGCCUCUCUGGAAUGUGUUUCUGUGUGUCUGGCUUCUCUUGUUUACCAUAAAACCUAUAGACUUUCACCCACGCUAUCACAUAAGGCAGCCGCCUCUUGUGUUCAUGGCAUGGAGCUUGCCACACCCAAAAGCCCCACUUCCAUUCAAUGGGAACAGGAACCUCUUUCAACACAUCGUGCUGGCAUGACUGGGUAUCCUAUGGAAAGCCACAGACCUGACUUCCUACCCAACUCCGUGCACAGAAAGGAUUCGAGAUGAAAGAUGGAUUCGAGCAGGGGACAUCGGGCGCACUCUUCACAGCCUUGGUGGGGGUCUACCACGUGACUAACCACAUGCCAGAAGAGAAGAGGUCAAGAGAAUCCCACCUGCAUGACGGGGGACAUUCUAGGGUGGAGAGGGGUCCUAGGGAAACACCUGCCAUUCUAGGGUGGAGAGGCACUAGGGGCAAGGUCUCGAAUUGAACGUUUCCCAUUGCUAGGUGUCGGGAUGUUCUGCUCUGGUGACCUUCUGUACCUGGUUCAUCGUCCUUGCUCUGCUCAUGUCUGUCUGACUACCUACAACACUGUCACAUGGUUACCAUUUCUUUUUUUGUGGUGAGAACACUUAAGAUCUAUUCUUAGCAAAAUUCAAGUAUAUGAUACAGUACUAAUGAAUUGUUACCUGUAUCUAUAUUUACAUAGCUAUAUUGCUGUACAUUAGAUCCCCAGAACUUAUUAAUCUUUUAGCUGGAAGUUUGUAUCCUUCAACCAAUAUCUCCCCAUUUUCCCCACCCCACCCCUCAUAACCAACACUCUAACUCUGUUUCUCUGAGUUUGACUUGUUAGAUUCCACAUAUAAAUGAUAUCAUACAGUA
Myotis daubentonii (Daubenton's bat) is the source of this 1024-nucleotide long non-coding RNA. RefSeq lists it as uncharacterized. NCBI's taxonomy places the organism in Eukaryota, Metazoa, Chordata, Mammalia, Chiroptera, Vespertilionidae. The record is from RefSeq and is a predicted model, not a curated record.